This 274-nucleotide ribosomal RNA is filed under the name uncultured bacterium. Its description in RNAcentral is "partial 16S ribosomal RNA". It matches the Rfam family "Archaeal small subunit ribosomal RNA", at positions 473 to 747 of the family's 1478-position model. The record is from RNAcentral.
AAACCAGCACCUCAAGUGGUCAGGAUGAUUAUUGGGCCUAAAGCAUCCGUAGCCGGCUCUGUAAGUUUUCGGUUAAAUCUGUACGCUUAACGUACAGGCUGCUGGGAAUACUGUAGAGCUAGGGAGUGGGAGAGGUAGACGGUACUCGGGAGGAAGUGGUAAAAUGCUUUGAUCUCUCGAUGACCACCUGUGGCGAAGGCGGUCUACCAGAACACGUCCGACGGUGAGGGAUGAAAGCUGGGGGAGCAAACCGGAUUAGAAACCCGAGUAGUCC